ACUAUGGACAUUUUAACAAUAUGCAGAAGGAGACGGGUCUGGAACUAGAAAGCUAGGCUCUGACUGGUCUACUACAGCAAGGAAUGUGCCAGCGGCCAAUCUGAUAAACAUGUGGCAGAAGAUUUGGCAGUGGGUGAAGAAAUACUGAGAUUGAAAUGCAACCACAGGUGGAGGCUUCACCCAAACUUUUCAGACAGACAUGAGAUGCAAAGUUACCAAAGUAUAAAUGGUUGAAGGUUUAGGAGAGCAAGACAAGAAGGCAUGAAAUGUGAUGUCACUUGUAAGUUACUUCAAUAAUCAUGAACAGCAGCAGGAGCAACAACAGCAUCAGCAGCCGAAACCACAACUGCAGUAAGAGAUGCAACAACCACACCCACAACAACAAGAGCAGCAGCAAAAACAACAGAAAUUCCAGCAACCACGAUGACAACAGCAGCAGCAACACCAACAACACUAAUGAAUAUUGAAAAACUUGUACAAAAGUCAAUGAGGUCACAGACAUUUUCAGACAUUAUUGAUUAAAAAAUGCACAAUGAUUUAUUCGGGUUGAAGAGAAGAACAUAAAUGUUUUUAAAAAUGUGUACAUUUGAAGGUGUUUCCUAUCAAAUUGUAUCAAUUAAUUUAUGAAAAUAUAGCUUUAAAGAUAAAAAUAUGAUGCUUGAAAUGUCUACUUUUUAUUUGUCAUUGACUGAAAAUAAAUACAUUUUCUUUGAAUUUUCUUAAUGAAAUGAAAAAUAAGCAAUUUAUUAAAAUGUUAUAUUCAAAAUCAACUGAAAUUGAUAAAUUUUAGCUGCUAAAGUCCAUAAAAGGCUGAUUAGUCGGUGAAAAUAAGUUUUGUCGGUAGGUGAAGGCCACCGACAAAAUUAGUCGGUGGUUUCCAAUAAUUUGUCGGAGAAAAUCACCGACAAAUUUUGAUGAAAUGGAAUUUAGUCGGUGAUGGCAAAAUUGUCGGUGAAACUGAAAUUAGUCGGUGAAAAUCACAUUUAGUCGGAGAAAACCACCGACUAAUUGUUUGAUGAAACGCCCCCCGGGUUCUGCAUGUGUGUGUGAUGAAAACUCUUCAGCGGUACUCCAUGCACCGGCCCCCGAUGCGCCCCGGCGCGGCUCCAGCCCGCCGCGCUGCGCCAGGAAGCUCCGAGAAUUAAAGUUCACGAGCACUGCGAGGCAUUUUUCGUAAGCUUCCGUGCGCCUUAUUCGAGCUGAAACUGUGGAUCAACGAUGGGAUUAACAAGUGGAUUACUUUUUUACACCUCGACUUUCAAUUUCAGGUAUAAUUUUAUUGACAAUCUUGAAGAAUUAGAAGCAAAGUGGAGAUUUUUUCGCCUACUUUCACUUGAGUUGAUCGGAUUCGAACAUUUUCUCUUUCGAGUUUCGUGAGUGAGCUAGCCUGGCGCUGGCUGGCUGAGCUGUGCGAAGCACGCCCCGUCCCGAUUCAUCCACACUACAAUCGCAUCGCCAGUGACCAUGGAGAUCAUGGAGAUGGAGUCAUCCAAGACGACAAAAUACUUGUCGAAGUAUAAAGAUAGUUUUCAAGCAGAAUGGGACUGUGUGACAAUUUUCACAGGAAUCCCUCAGAGACUUUAAACAGUCCACAUAUAAAGCUCAUUUACCAUGUUUACCACUUCUGCAUCCCCUUCCCCCUCUGGCCAAUUAUAAAGGUAUUUUCAUGUUGAAUUCAUUCUUUUAUGAAUUAUUAAAAAAAUCUACUGUAUUGCCUGAAGUGUAUAUUUAGUCAAUGACAAUUCAUGAAUUCUCUCUAAUGUGCAUUUAAUCUAUCAGAAUUUUUUUUGAUGGUUUAGACAGCUGUCGGUUACUAUCAAAUGUUGUUUCCUAAUGUGUUUUGCUACCCAAAACUCCCAUCCGUGGGACAACGUUCCGCCGCUCCCUCACAAAAUCAUACCUCCGCGAAAUCUACUGGAUUCUAUCAUCCCAAUGUUGGCAGCUCUGGUAAUUAGAUCCUUAUGGGAUAAAUUGAUCACCCAUGGGUCAAAGAAAGAGAAACUGAUAUUGUGAAAUUGCAUCAUCAAAAAUAAAAUUGUAGGAAAAACUUUUGCAUUUUUAUGUGUCGUACGGGACAUUGCCAAAAAUAGGUUCGGAAAAAUCAGGGCUGCCCCUAUUAUGGAUAAUGAAAAUGUUGUAGAUAUGAUUUGGAACCAUCAAUGAUACAUUAUUCCAUUGACCUGCAAUAUUUUCAAUCUUCUUGUGCUUUGCCAAUAAUUGUUUCAGGCAGUGUUUGUACUUGACUAUUUAAUUAGCAAAAUUAUUGAAAAUUGAAAAUUCCAUUGUUCCCCCCAAAAAAAACUAUAUCUGACAUCACUUUUGGUUAAAACUCAUAAUUUUCAUAAAAUUUAGGUAAUCAUAGUAAAAUAUUACAUUGCUUAUGACUUAUUGAAAGCAUGUUGAAAUUUAUGAUAUUUUUGAAGUUCUAGUGUGGAAUCGCCCUUAAAAUAUCACUUUUGUGACCAAAAUUACUAAUUUCCAUACAGUUGCAAUUUAUUUUUCAUUAGUAACUUGGGAAUAAUUUUUGUAUUCACUAGAGCGCUUAAAAACUUGAAUUUUGGGCAUAUUUUUGUGUACGCCCUCUAUUGGUGUAAAAUAAUAUGGCAAGAAAAUUUUCAUUUUUUUUAUCUCUAUUUUUGAUUAAGAAAAAAAUAAUUUAAAGAAUCAAAUUUACUUAAGGGCCAAGUUGGAUGAGGGCAUGGUAGAGUGCGUCUUUUUUAUGUUUACAUCAGGAAAAGGUCUUGCUUCUCCUUCCAUGAACUUGGGUAUCUCAGCAGUUGUAAAGAAUUUCAUUAACUCCAAGUACCUGGCAUUCAUAUCCAAGAUGUGUAUAUUGGGAUCUUCUAUCAGAUUCCAUAGUGGGGUAGUGAUCAAUUUACAGAUCAAGCCGAGGGCUUUGCACCCAGCCAUGAAAAAGGGGAUGCCAAGGUCAUGGAGGACCCAAGGGGCUCCUCCAUCUUUUUCCCAAAAAUCCCUCAUUUCCUGGUGCAACAGGAACACCACAGAGGCAUUGUGAAAGAGGAUGUUAAAUCUGCUGCCUCUAUAUGGUGUGAGCGGCAAUGCCUUUUGAGGUCGUUUCGUACUGUUGUAACAAACUUUCCAUGGCAACUUGUCUUGGCAUCGCCGUCAUAUGCGAAGACGUUGCACACAGUCCGGAUCAUCCUGCAUGUUCCAGAUUCAGAUGCCCUCUUGAAUUUGGAAUCCUUGAUUGGGACGUUCUUCUCACCUUCAAAGUGUAAGCAUUCCACUUUUCUUGCCGUCUUGUUCACUACCUCUGCAAUAUGGACCAUGCCAUGCAGCCCACAGAAAAAGUUGUUUAGCCUCGUCAUUUCCCUCUGCAGAUCUCCAUCGAGAUGAGCCCAUCCUUCAAUCACAGCAGGAAGAAUCUCCGCCCUGUACGUUUCCAACAAUUUGCUAAACUUCAUCUAUGUCACAGCACGGUCGGACAUGGUAUUCCUUAUUCGGAAAAGAAGCUCAUGUGAUGCAGAGCUGUUUGAUUGUCUGUAAUACAGACUGUCUAUAUCCCAGAGAAUUUGUUUGCAAACAUCCAGAGUGUCCUUCCCGGAUUUGGUCGCCAGGUCUCUAAGGCCCACUAGAAAGGGUCUACCGCUUUCAUCUCUGAUGGCAUAGGCCCCAUAUUUUCUCCCAUAUUUUGAAGUCUCAUCUGUUUCUAAGGUCGUUGCCUCCCUACUUGACAAUUCUUCUGCUACUUGUGUCUGUGAAAUCACGAGCCUUUUCAAUCUGUAGCGUAAAAAUAUAAACAAACAAUAAUAAGCAUCUGUAUAUAUGCAGUUACAUUUUACAAUUAUGUAUUUGCACGAGAUGAAAUAAAUAGUCUAUGUAUCGCACAAAUUAAUUGUGACGUUUGAAUCUUGCAUAAAUCAAUAUUCUGGUUUUCUGUAACAAAAUUUACCUUUAAAUUCUGUAAAUGUGUUCAAAGAACCUUGAAUAAACUUUGCUAUAUGUGGUUG
Long non-coding RNA from Lytechinus pictus (painted urchin), 3971 nucleotides. RefSeq lists it as uncharacterized. NCBI's taxonomy places the organism in Eukaryota, Metazoa, Echinodermata, Echinoidea, Temnopleuroida, Toxopneustidae. The transcript is spliced from 3 exons. The record is from RefSeq and is a predicted model, not a curated record.